GAGGAAUAUUGGUCAAUGGGGGCAACCCUGAACCAGCCAAGUCGCGUGAAGGAUGAAGGUCUUAUGGAUUGUAAACUUCUUUUACACGGGAAUAAAGUGGGGGACGUGUCCCACUUUGCAUGUACCGUGUGAAUAAGGAUCGGCUAACUCCGUGCCAGCAGCCGCGGUAAUACGGAGGAUCCGAGCGUUAUCCGGAUUUAUUGGGUUUAAAGGGUGCGCAGGCGGGAUGUUAAGUCGGCGGUGAAAUUUUGCAGCUCAACUGUAAAAGUGCUUUUGCUACUGGCCUCCUUGAGUGUGGAUGAAGUAGGCGGAAUUUGUGGGGUAGCGGUGAAAUGCUUAGAUAUCACGAGGAACUCCGAUUGCGCAGGCAGCUUACUAGGCCACAACUGACGCUCAUGCACGAAGGCGUGGGGAUCAAACA
This 421-nucleotide ribosomal RNA is filed under the name uncultured bacterium. RNAcentral's name for it is "bacterial SSU rRNA". It matches the Rfam family "Bacterial small subunit ribosomal RNA", at positions 356 to 774 of the family's 1533-position model. The record is from RNAcentral.